RNAcentral lists this transfer RNA (74 nucleotides) under Streptomyces phage Bmoc. RNAcentral describes it as "tRNA-Arg". It matches the Rfam family "tRNA". Rfam says of the family: Transfer RNA (tRNA) molecules are approximately 80 nucleotides in length. Their secondary structure includes four short double-helical elements and three loops (D, anti-codon, and T loops). Further hydrogen bonds mediate the characteristic L-shaped molecular structure. tRNAs have two regions of fundamental functional importance: the anti-codon, which is responsible for specific mRNA codon recognition, and the 3' end, to which the tRNAs corresponding amino acid is attached (by aminoacyl-tRNA synthetases). tRNAs cope with the degeneracy of the genetic code in two manners: having more than one tRNA (with a specific anti-codon) for a particular amino acid; and 'wobble' base-pairing, i.e. permitting non-standard base-pairing at the 3rd anti-codon position. Lineage: Duplodnaviria; Heunggongvirae; Uroviricota; Caudoviricetes; Stanwilliamsviridae. RNAcentral also lists the same sequence under 2 other names. The record is from RNAcentral.
CUCCUCUUAGCUCAAUGGAUAGAGCGACAGGCUUCGAACCUGUGCGUAGGGAGUUCGAUUCUCUCAGGGGAGGC